RNAcentral lists this ribosomal RNA (256 nucleotides) under uncultured bacterium. RNAcentral's name for it is "partial 16S ribosomal RNA". It matches the Rfam family "Bacterial small subunit ribosomal RNA", at positions 521 to 776 of the family's 1533-position model. The record is from RNAcentral.
UAAUACGAAUUGUGCAAACGUUAUUCGGAAUCACUGGGCUUAAAGGGUGCGUAGGCGGCCAUGAAGGUCUGAUGUGAAAUCCCACGGCUCAACCGUGGAAUUGCGUUGGAAACCACAUGGCUUGAGGAAGACAGAGGUGAGCGGAACUAAUGGUGGAGCGGUGAAAUGUGUUGAUAUCAUUAGGAACACCGGUGGCGAAAGCGGCUCGCUGGGUCUUUUCUGACGCUGAGGCACGAAAGCUAGGGUAGCAAACGGG